UGUUCCGUACUGUAGCGGUUAACGACCUGGACUUUGAAUCCAGUAUCGCGAGUUCGAAUCUCGCCGGAUCCU
RNAcentral lists this transfer RNA (72 nucleotides) under Haemonchus placei. It matches the Rfam family "tRNA". Rfam says of the family: Transfer RNA (tRNA) molecules are approximately 80 nucleotides in length. Their secondary structure includes four short double-helical elements and three loops (D, anti-codon, and T loops). Further hydrogen bonds mediate the characteristic L-shaped molecular structure. tRNAs have two regions of fundamental functional importance: the anti-codon, which is responsible for specific mRNA codon recognition, and the 3' end, to which the tRNAs corresponding amino acid is attached (by aminoacyl-tRNA synthetases). tRNAs cope with the degeneracy of the genetic code in two manners: having more than one tRNA (with a specific anti-codon) for a particular amino acid; and 'wobble' base-pairing, i.e. permitting non-standard base-pairing at the 3rd anti-codon position. Lineage: Eukaryota; Metazoa; Nematoda; Chromadorea; Rhabditida; Trichostrongylidae. The record is from Rfam by way of RNAcentral.